Molecule: ribosomal RNA, 465 nt
Filed under: Vreelandella stevensii
Lineage: Bacteria; Pseudomonadati; Pseudomonadota; Gammaproteobacteria; Oceanospirillales; Halomonadaceae
Description: partial 16S ribosomal RNA
Rfam family: Bacterial small subunit ribosomal RNA
Source: RNAcentral
CCUACGGGGAGCAGCAGUGGGGAAUAUUGGACAAUGGGCGAAAGCCUGAUCCAACCAUGCCGCGUGUGUGAAGAAGGCCUUCGGGUUGUAAAGCACUUUCAGUGGGGAAGAAAGCCUUGGGGCUAAUACCCUCGAGGAAGGACAUCACCCACAGAAGAAGCACCGGCUAACUCCGUGCCAGCAGCCGCGGUAAUACGGAGGGUGCGAGCGUUAAUCGGAAUUACUGGGCGUAAAGCGCGCGUAGGCGGUCUGAUAAGCCGGUUGUGAAAGCCCCGGGCUCAACCUGGGAACGGCAUCCGGAACUGUCAGGCUAGAGUGCAGGAGAGGAAGGUAGAAUUCCCGGUGUAGCGGUGAAAUGCGUAGAGAUCGGGAGGAAUACCAGUGGCGAAGGCGGCCUUCUGGACUGACACUGACGCUGAGGUGCGAAAGCGUGGGUAGCAAACAGGAUUAGAUACCCCAGUAGUC